Polypterus senegalus (gray bichir) is the source of this 2067-nucleotide long non-coding RNA. RefSeq lists it as uncharacterized. The record is from RefSeq and is a predicted model, not a curated record. The transcript has 5 exons. NCBI's taxonomy places the organism in Eukaryota, Metazoa, Chordata, Cladistia, Polypteriformes, Polypteridae.
GAAGGCAUGUGCAAGUGUGAGUUAGGGCAGCAGGGUCCCACUUAGUGUACUUUUACUGUAUAUAAUACCCUUGACGGUUAGAGAAUGUUACUGUAUUUAAUUGAACCGGAAUAAUAGUGAGAGUUUCGCUGAGUUGAAUUAAUCUUAUUAUUUGACUGCAUGAUGCCAUAAAAAAAUUUGAGGUGAGGGAUUCCAUAAAGAGACACCAGCCCUAUAUGCUAAAGGACAUUAAUGGAAGUAUUUUAUAAUAAUACCUGUUGUUGGUGAAAGAGGUUUGCUAUAAAAUGGUCACAGUGCCUACUCAGUUUUGUUAAAUAAGAUUUUCUUUCCAUUCCUUUUUGAUCAUUUUCAUAACACAGUUCAAAGCAAAUGCUAACACAUGGUGUUUAACAACUCAAGACCACUUACAUUAGUUACAGUAAGUCAUCCAUAUGAUAUACUGUGGUCCAUCCAUUUAGUCUCCGGAUGGUGGGGAUUCCAACAGCACUGGGCCAGGCUAAAUCUGUCAGUUAUUAUAACCUAUUAUUCGGACAGUGCUUCGCAGUCUGUUGUGUCCCACUUUUUCCCAUAUAAGUAUCUUCAUGGCCCACCAAGGGGAGAGGGGCAUACCCUUGGAAAGUUGAGUGGCAACCCACUCAUGACCCACCACCCACUAACAUUAAUAAGUUGUGACCCAGCGGUUGAGAAACACAGCUUUAGAAUAUUAAGAUUGUCUUGUUUUACUGCCACUUGAUUGACCUUAAGCCUUUGUUCAUGCUUUUUUAUAAUUUCUUUUCUUUUUUUUUUCCUUUAAUAUCAUUUGAUUGUGAUCUGGGAUCCAACAUCGCUGCCAUACUGUCAGGUGGUGUGGGUAGGUGAAGUGGUAGAUGUGAAUGUGACUCAAUGUGUGAUAGCUUGGUGGCUUUUUCCAUAUAAUAAAAGGAUACUUGCAAUCAUGCCAAUGCUGUCACUUUAUUUGAUAUUUUAGGUGUGCUAGUAUAAAAUUCAAAAGCACCUGUAGUCAAUGUCAUGUCUGUCUGUCCAUCUGCUUGUCUAAAUGAAAGCCCCUGUGAGGGAAUCAACCAGCUGCUCCACCACUAGUGUACAGUCAGACCCCAAACUAGCUUGUUAGGUCAUCGUUUUUAAUUGGGGACAUUCUGAGUUGUCAAUAUCACUUUUUGCUGGUAUGAAUUUAACUUCUUUUAUCUUUGAAAACAGGACCUGCUACAACUGUAUCACUUUCUAUUCACAAUAUGUAUGUCACUGCAUCAGGUCACAUGCCGGACCAUAUAGGACAUGGGUGGAAAAGCCAAGAAAGCAAAACAACUGAGUCCAGGACAAUCCAAGGGAUCGAAUCUUGGACACAUGGAGGAUAUCUGCUGACUGGCUGACCAACCGAAGCAUUACCUGAUCUCCUAAGUUGGUUCUGCUCUGCCCUGUUCAUCUGUUGGUAAAGCUCUACAAGAAGUACUUGAAGUUUUUCAGGAACAGAUGAUAAAAACUGUGACAAUCCUGCUCAUCACUCCUCCUGCGUUUUGUCUUCUCAAGAACAAGUGACAGUCAGUUGCGCCACCGAUGACAUUACAUCUAUUCCCUGACUGCCUGAACCUGUUUCUUCCUAUUCUCCAGGAAAACUCCGCCACCAUUGAAUGCCUCUGUCACCAUUUUGAGUCAGCCAACCACUUACUCACAUCUGAAAAGAGCCUUGAGAAACCACCCUGUGACAGCCAUGAAGCAAAGGAAGUCCCGUCUCUCCCAAUCCCCCCGAUGUAGAAACAGAAUGCUCCCAGAAGGCGACAUCUCAUUCCAAUGCUGAUCUUGCUUCUGUGCAGACCCAAGCCAGAGCCUGUAACCUAGUCAUUCCUGAGAGAAGACGGUAUUUUCUAAACAGCUCAUUGAGGUGUAUAUUUUUGUUAGAUUUUCUUAUUUUUCUGUUUCAGUUAAACAGAAUUUUACCUAGAUGGCUGCAGAAGCAUUUGGUCUUUGUCCAGCCUCCUCAUUCACCCCACUACAUUACAGUAUAUUCUGUAUAUGUCAGUAUAUCUAUGUAGUAGCCAUCCACCACGGCUCCACCUGUGUUGUAGUGAA